GGCAGACAGAAAGAGGAGUGUUAGGUAAGCGCUCGGCUAUCCAGCACGCAGACAUGCACAGAUGCACUAAUGAUUGAGGGCCGACCCGGUUCUCCUCUGCAACAGGUCAUGCGAGACAAACAAAGAGAGUGUGCUGGAGAACAUGCAGCUCGGUUCCGCGGGCUUAGCUGCGGGUGGCUGUGGCAGGCUCACAGGACCAGGACAAUGCACCAGAUACAAUGUCUCCUCAUGGGCCCAUAAGGAGGAAACCGGAGUACCUGGAUGAA
Non-coding RNA from Paramormyrops kingsleyae, 266 nucleotides. The record is from RefSeq and is a predicted model, not a curated record. Lineage: Eukaryota; Metazoa; Chordata; Actinopteri; Osteoglossiformes; Mormyridae.